This is a long non-coding RNA of Pieris brassicae (large cabbage white), 460 nucleotides long. RefSeq lists it as uncharacterized. The transcript has 3 exons. The record is from RefSeq and is a predicted model, not a curated record. Lineage: Eukaryota; Metazoa; Arthropoda; Insecta; Lepidoptera; Pieridae.
GUAUAAUCUCGUUGGUCAUGUAAAAGUCAGUUUCCAUUAAAAUACAUGGGCACGAUAUGGUCGUAUAGUUGGCAUAAUUAUGCGUGUAAGAUGAGAAAACGGGCGAGACAACGAAAGAUUUCAAGGCAAAAGACGUGUAUUGGAAGACGUCCACAGUGUUUAAAGAUACGACGCAAAGUUAUGCAAUGUAGAUGCGAAAAUACCUGUGUGAAAGAGAGAAAAAUUGAACCCGAUACUGAUAUGACUAAGCGUGUUACAUUCAACGAUUUGCCACAGAAGUGUAUCUGUCUAGACACAAAUAUCAAUAGAUCCGUACAGUGUCCGGAAGUAUGUCUGACGAUGUCGGAUAUGGCGGACACUUUUCAUCCAGAAGGAUUUUGUUGUGCGGUAAAGAAUAAAAACGUUUGUCGAUUCACUAUUGAUGCAUACUUUUCUUAAUUAAAAUCGAUUAUUAAACUUC